Molecule: long non-coding RNA, 1401 nt
Filed under: Citrus maxima (pomelo)
Lineage: Eukaryota; Viridiplantae; Streptophyta; Magnoliopsida; Sapindales; Rutaceae
Description: long non-coding RNA (CMAX_LNC001729)
Source: RNAcentral
AAAAAAAAAAAGCUUCAGAAAUAUUCCCUCACAGUAAUAUUUCUGACAAAAAAAUCCGACAGAAGCUGUUGAACGAGGGGGAAAAUGUAGAAUAACAGCAGAUUUAGGUUACGAAGGAGAAGAUCCAGAGGAAGAUGAAGAUCGCGAGAAAGAUUAAUAUUAUCGAAUCAGCAAUUUACCAGAAACCAUUUGAGGUGAGAAAUAAAAAUUUGAAUUUGAUGGUACCGAUUCCCGAUUUUGUUAGAUCAAUUUUUUUUUUUUUUUUUGGUUUUUGGCGGUAGUGUCAUGGCCGUUGAUGGCACAACGACACAGGCGAUGAAUUUUUAUUUUUAAUAAAUUAAAUAUUAAUUAAUUUUUGGUGUAACGGUAGUUUUGGAAAUUUAUUUUAUAUUAAAGGAUAUUUUGGUAUUUAAGUUAAAAAUUUUAGAGAAAAUGACAUUUAUACCCUUUUGGUGAAAUAGUCAUAUUAAACCCGUAAGGGACACAACGAGACUCCUUUUCUACUGUAAUAUCCUUUAACUAUAGUAUCCUCAAAAAAUUGAUUCUAGUGUUUUAAAAGAAAUAAAAAUAUAAUGUUAAAAUAAAUAUAAUAAUAUAUACAUUUUAAAAUAAAAAUAUUUAAUCACUAUACAAUAUGUUAGAUAUAUUUUAUUAUAUUAAACUUAAUUUGAUAAUAAAUGGAAAUAUAAUAUAAAAUAAAUAUUUUAAAUUUUAAAUUAUUUUGAAUAUCAUAUCAAAUAAGUUAAUAUUAUUAAUAUGUGAGAUAUGUUGAAUUAAUAGUAAAAUCUAUUUAAGCUAAAGAUUUAUUUCAAAUAUUUUAAUAAAUAUAAAUAAAAUAUUUUAUAUUUUCAAAUUAUUUUAUAUAUUAAAAAUAUUUUAAUAUUUAGGCAAAUAAAUUAAUAAAUAUUAUAUUUUCAUUUAUUAAAAAAUUUAAGGCUAAUUUUUUUUAGCUAUCAUAUUCAAAGUAUAUUAAAGUAAAAAAAAGAUCUUAUAUCCCUCAUUAAAAACUUGUGAAAAACUUGAGAGUUGUUUGAUAAUUUCCUCAAAUCUUAGAGGUGUAGCUAUCUUUUUUCCAAAAUUUUAUUAUCAAAUAAUCAAAUUUCUAAAAGUUGUCGCUUUUUUUUUUGAAGUUAUAAUUAGCUUAGCUGCUUUUAAGAAUCUACAAAAUCUAAUUACUUGAAAAUCAAAUUAUUUAAUAAUCACUUUUGAAUUGAAUUUAACAACACUCUUUGGAUGCUCGUUGUCGAAGCAUGUCUUUACCUGGCCUGGUGCGCACCCUACACAACCGAAAGGCAAGGCCUGUUUGGAAAGUUAGACUAUGAAGGAAAUUAAUUGAUGGAUAGUAUUUGAUUAAUUUCAUCUAUUUUGUAUUUAGGCUCCAUUUGGUAUAAUUUUUCAAAG